GACUAGAGUCUUGUAGAGGGGGGUAGAAUUUCAGGUGUAGCGGUGAAAUGCGUAGAGAUCUGAAGGAAUACCGGUGGCGAAGGCGGCCCCCUGGACAAAGACUGACGCUCAGAUGCGAAAGCGUGGGGAGCAAACAGGAUUAGAUACCCUGGUAGUCCACGCCGUAAACGAUGUCUACUCGGAAUUUGGUGCCUU
This 195-nucleotide ribosomal RNA is filed under the name uncultured bacterium. RNAcentral's name for it is "partial 16S ribosomal RNA". It matches the Rfam family "Bacterial small subunit ribosomal RNA", at positions 639 to 833 of the family's 1533-position model. The record is from RNAcentral.